GGGGACCAGGAUGGGGGAGGCUUGCUCCCUGAUGUUAGCGGCGGACGGGUGAGUAACACGUGGGUAACCUGCCUGUAAGACUGGGAUAACUCCGGGAAACCGGGGCUAAUACCGGAUGCUUGAUUGAACCGCAUGGUUCAAUUAUAAAAGGUGGCUUUUAGCUACCACUUACAGAUGGACCCGCGGCGCAUUAGCUAGUUGGUGAGGUAACGGCUCACCAAGGCAACGAUGCGUAGCCGACCUGAGAGGGUGAUCGGCCACACUGGGACUGAGACACGGCCCAGACUCCUACGGGAGGCAGCAGUAGGGAAUCUUCCGCAAUGGACGAAAGUCUGACGGAGCAACGCCGCGUGAGUGAUGAAGGUUUUCGGAUCGUAAAACUCUGUUGUUAGGGAAGAACAAGUACCGUUCGAAUAGGGCGGUACCUUGACGGUACCUAACCAGAAAGCCACGGCUAACUACGUGCCAGCAGCCGCGGUAAUACGUAGGUGGCAAGCGUUGUCCGGAAUUAUUGGGCGUAAAGCGCGCGCAGGCGGUUUCUUAAGUCUGAUGUGAAAGCCCCCGGCUCAACCGGGGAGGGUCAUUGGAAACUGGGGAACUUGAGUGCAGAAGAGGAGAGUGGAAUUCCACGUGUAGCGGUGAAAUGCGUAGAGAUGUGGAGGAACACCAGUGGCGAAGGCGACUCUCUGGUCUGUAACUGACGCUGAGGCGCGAAAGCGUGGGGAGCGAACAGGAUUAGAUACCUGUGGUAGUCCG
Molecule: ribosomal RNA, 756 nt
Filed under: Bacillus licheniformis
Lineage: Bacteria; Bacillati; Bacillota; Bacilli; Caryophanales; Bacillaceae
Description: bacterial SSU rRNA
Rfam family: Bacterial small subunit ribosomal RNA
Source: RNAcentral